This 499-nucleotide ribosomal RNA is filed under the name uncultured bacterium. RNAcentral's name for it is "partial 16S ribosomal RNA". It matches the Rfam family "Bacterial small subunit ribosomal RNA", at positions 28 to 507 of the family's 1533-position model. The record is from RNAcentral.
GACGAACGCUGGCGGCGUGCCUAAUACAUGCAAGUCGAGCGAAGUUUUUCUGGUGCUUGCACUAGAAAAACUUAGCGGCGAACGGGUGAGUAACACGUAAAGAACCUGCCUCAUAGACUGGGACAACUAUUGGAAACGAUAGCUAAUACCGGAUAACAGUAUUUCUCGCAUGAGAGAUAUUUAAAAGUUGGUUAUGCUAACACUAUGAGAUGGCUUUGCGGUGCAUUAGCUAGUUGGUGGGGUAAAGGCCCACCAAGGCGACGAUGCAUAGCCGACCUGAGAGGGUGAUCGGCCACACGGGAACGGAGACACGGCCCAGACUCCUACGGGAGGCAGCAGUAGGGAAUCUUCCGCAAUGGGCGAAAGCCUGACGGAGCAACGCCGCGUGAGUGAAGAAGGAUUUCGGUUCGUAAAGCUCUGUUGUUAGGGAAGAAUGGAUAUGCAGUAACUAUACAUGUAAGAGACGGUACCUAACCAGAAAGCCACGGCUAACUACGUG